This 833-nucleotide small RNA is filed under the name Pan troglodytes (chimpanzee). Its description in RNAcentral is "retained intron". Lineage: Eukaryota; Metazoa; Chordata; Mammalia; Primates; Hominidae. The record is from RNAcentral.
GGCUGGACAGCUCUGGGGGGCUGCAUCUUCAUGUUAAUGGGGUGGACCAGGGGGUAGCUGUGCCAGAUGUGCCCCAGCCCUGCUACGCGCUUGUGGACCUCUAUGGGCAGUGUGAGCAGGUGACAAUCGUGAACCCUGAGCCAGGGGCUGCCAGUGGGAAAAGUGCUGGAACCCAAGGGGACAUGGAGAAAGCAGACAUGGUGGACGGUGUGCCAGCCCAAAGGGACCCAGCUCCUGCCCCUACUCCCCCGCCCUCACCCUUCUAGCCCAGCUCCUGUGACCUGUGCCCCUCUGCUCCCUCAGGUAUCAAAGAGAGUGUGUGCUGGGGUCCACCACCUGCCGCUAGUCCUCUAAAGAGCUGCGAGUACCAUGCCCUUUGCUCUCGCUUCCAAGAACUCCUGCUGCUUCCUGAAGAUUAUUUCAUGCCUCCGCCAAAGCGAAGCCUGUGCUACUGUGAGUCUUGCCGGAAGCUGCGAGGAGACGAGGCCCACAGGCGCAGAGGGGAGCCUCCCCGGGAAUAUGCACUGCCCUUUGGCUGGUGCAGGUUCAACCUCAGAGUGAAUCCCCGCCUGGAGGCUGGGACACUAACCAAGAAGUGGCACAUGGCAUAUCACGGGAGCAAUGUUGCCGCUGUACGGAGAGUGCUGGACCGAGGGGAGCUGGGAGCAGGUACUGCCUCCAUCCUGAGCUGCCGUCCUUUGAAGGGAGAACCUGGGGUAGGGUUCGAGGAGCCUGGCGAGAACUGUGCACCUCCUCGGGAGGAGCAGCCCCCUCCUGUGCUGCUUUCCCCCUCCCUUCAAUAUGCUGGGGCGGAGACCCUGGCCUCCAAAGUG